Daphnia magna is the source of this 1019-nucleotide long non-coding RNA. RefSeq lists it as uncharacterized. The transcript has 7 exons. The record is from RefSeq and is a predicted model, not a curated record. NCBI's taxonomy places the organism in Eukaryota, Metazoa, Arthropoda, Branchiopoda, Diplostraca, Daphniidae.
AGCUGAUGGGUCGGCAUUUCCGGUGAGAAGGGCCAACAGGGUGGAAUACGGGCUGUAGUCAACUUGACCCUGGCUGCUAGAGCCAAUGGACAGGAAGGCGAUGAAACAACUGCAGAAAAACAAAGAGAACAUGUUGCUUGCUGGUUGUAAGUUUAUGCAGUGGCUUAUCAACGUAGGCACACAUCCAGCUUCGUCCAGGGAGAAAGAUUUUGAGACCUGUGAAGGAACAUGCUACUAAGUGUUGUUUUCUCUUCCAUAUGGAAAUAAAGAUUUUUCCUACGUUUCCUUCGUUGUCACUUCAACGGGGAAAACAGCGUUUAAAAAAUCCUACAUGCAACAAAUGCAAAUCUAAAUGUAUCCGGGAUGGAUAUGGAGCAGAAAUCUGCUAGCGAUUUUGAAUCGGAAGCAAAUGAGAAGAUUUGAGAUCCGAUGAAGUGUGCAAUCUCGAAAAGAGAGACCCUUGGUGAACAUCAAUCUACCUUUUCAUAAUCUUGGUAACUUGUCGCAGAAAUUCGGUUGAUUGGUUCCAUAAGGGUGCCAAUUUUUUUUAAUGGAGAUCUUUCGAAUGACCUCUAUUUCAUCCACUGCUAGAGACAUGGCGGUAAUUUUUCCUGCCAAAAAAUAGUUGCAUCAAUCGAAAACUAGAAAACACCAAUACACAUGACAGUAAAAAUGAAACAGUACCGCCUUCCUCCUAUCGCAUUACUCUUUCGUUCAAGAGUUUUUGGAUAUUGGCCUUGCUGAAAGAGAAGUCAACGUCUGCUUUUAGGAUAAUCCAUCUUAUCACACAUAUGGAUAAACCCGCCAGAUAACAACCAGAAUAGCUGCCCGUUCUCCCUGUUUCAAUGAUUUCAACAACAAAAAAAACUGAAGCGUCUGAAUUCAAAUGAAGGAUAACAUAAAAGAAUAGGAUGAUUGUCGAACAGUUGGGGCUAGCUGCCCAAUUCCACCUUGAUCGUGUCCUGUAUAUCAUUAUGACCAGGAGUUUUUUAUGUUCUAAUCCAUCUCGGUCUUUCGGA